RNAcentral lists this ribosomal RNA (423 nucleotides) under uncultured eukaryote. RNAcentral describes it as "SSU rRNA". It matches the Rfam family "Eukaryotic small subunit ribosomal RNA", at positions 592 to 1017 of the family's 1831-position model. The record is from RNAcentral.
CAAUAGCGUAUAUUAAAGUUGUUGCAGUUAAAAGCUCGUAGUUGGAUUUCUGGCAGGAGCGACCGGUCGCACGCUAUGCGUAUGAACUUGUGUUGUCUCUGGCCAUCCUUGGGGAGAUCCCGUUUGGCAUUAAGUUGUCGGGCGGGGAGUACCCAUCGUUUACUGUGAAAAAUUAGAGUGUUUAAAGCAGGCUUAUGCCGUUGAAUAUAUUAGCAUGGAAUAAUAAGAUAGGACUUUGGAACUAUUUUGUUGGUUUGCGUUACGAAGUAAUGAUUAAUAGGGACAGUUGGGGGUAGUUCUGUAUUGCAUUGUCAGAGGUGAAAUUCUUGGAUUUCUGCAAGACGAACUACUGCGAAAGCAUUCACCAAGGAUGUCUUCUUUAAUCAAGAACGAAAGUUGGGGAUCGAAGACGAUCAGAUACCA